GGGGUGGCUGUUAGCCCUGACCUGGGCGCCUCGAAAAGAAGCGGGGGAGGCAGCUCCAUUUGAAAUUAAUUCCCUAUAAAAAGCAGUUGACGGAGGAGUUUGUAUUUGCGUCUGAACGCUUGCAUGCAUCUUCUAGGCGUACAGAACUGCAAUUCAGUGUUGUAUCACGGGUAGCAACAAGGACAUGGACGCCAGAGAUGACAGUGCAUUGGCUGCUUCAAUUUAAAAGCUUUUUUUCAGCUGUUCUCAUCCUGUUUCUUCAAAUAAAGGUGUAACAAACUUUUACACUGUA
This is a long non-coding RNA of Lagopus leucura (white-tailed ptarmigan), 292 nucleotides long. RefSeq lists it as uncharacterized. The transcript is spliced from 2 exons. The record is from RefSeq and is a predicted model, not a curated record. Lineage: Eukaryota; Metazoa; Chordata; Aves; Galliformes; Phasianidae.